RNAcentral lists this ribosomal RNA (459 nucleotides) under uncultured bacterium. RNAcentral describes it as "partial 16S ribosomal RNA". It matches the Rfam family "Bacterial small subunit ribosomal RNA", at positions 338 to 795 of the family's 1533-position model. The record is from RNAcentral.
CCUACGGGAGGCAGCAGUGAGGAAUAUUGGUCAAUGGCCGGAAGGCUGAACCAGCCAAGCCGCGUGAAGGACGAAUGUGCCAUGCAUUGUAAACCUCUUUUGUCAAGGGACAAAAUCAGGCACGAGUGCCUGUCCGAGGGUACUUGAAGAAAAAGCAUCGGCUAACUCCGUGCCAGCAGCCGCGGUAAUACGGAGGAUGCGAGCGUUAUCCGGAUUUAUUGGGUUUAAAGGGUGCGUAGGCGGCUUGUGAAGUCAGCGGUAAAAGCGCGGAGCUCAACGCCGUCGAGCCGUUGAAACUGGUGGUCUUGAGUGGGCGAGAGGUAUGCGGAAUGCGUGGUGUAGCGGUGAAAUGCUUAGAUAUUACGCAGAACUCCGAUUGCGAAGGCAGCAUACCGGCGGCGGACUGACGCUGAGGCACGAAAGCGUGGGUAUCGAACAGGAUUAGAUACCCCGGUAGUC